Molecule: long non-coding RNA, 481 nt
Organism: Rhipicephalus sanguineus (brown dog tick)
Lineage: Eukaryota; Metazoa; Arthropoda; Arachnida; Ixodida; Ixodidae
Exons: 3
Source: RefSeq, a predicted model, not a curated record
UUAGACUGGGUAUGCUAUGUACACUCUCGACGUCUGUGUGCGCCGCAUCUUUUCAUCGGAAAGAACGUAUUUAUUUCAGAAACACAAGUUAUCGUCUUGGACCAAUAAAGAAUUAUCCUAGACUUACCGUCGCUGCUUUGGAUGCUACUGGCGAGGAAGAUCCAAUCGUUUCGGGAACUUUCUUCAUUUCUUUUGCGAAUCCGUCGUGCUUCCUUUUGACAACAAGGGUGCAGCAUGAGAAUUCAUCAUGUUCACUCUGGCAAGCCCAUACAACUUCACGAAGUGUUCGCGAAGCCUGUGAUUGGGCAUACGAAGCAGCGUGCAGUUUGUAUGCGGGGCGCAAAUAUAAGUAUCGAUCAAAAAGGUGCGACUCGAAGGUAAUUACAAAUCAAUGAGAACAUCGGAUAGAUACGUGUCAUUAUUGCUGCACCGCCAAAAAUAUGGCUGCAUUAUUUCAAACAUGGUUUCAUUGAAAAUGAGC